Molecule: ribosomal RNA, 253 nt
Filed under: uncultured bacterium
Lineage: Bacteria
Description: partial 16S ribosomal RNA
Rfam family: Bacterial small subunit ribosomal RNA
Source: RNAcentral
UACGUAGGUGGCAAGCGAUACUCGGAAUCACUAGGCGUAAAGCGCAGGUAGGCGGUUUGGUAAGUCUUUUGUGAAAGCUCCUGGCUCAACUGGGAGAGGUCAAGGGAAACUGCCGGACUAGAGUGUGGUAGGGGAUACUGGAAUUCCUGGUGUAGCGGUGAAAUGCGUAGAUAUCAGGAGGAAUACCUAUGGCGAAAGCAGGUAUCUGGGCCAUCACUGACGCUGAGCUGCGAAAGCUAGGGGAGCAAACAGG